CAGCCGCCGCUGUAAUACGGAGGGUGCAAGCGUUAUCCGGAUUUAUUGGGUUUAAAGGGUCCGUAGGCGGAUCUGUAAGUCAGUGGUGAAAUCUCACAGCUUAACUGUGAAACUGCCAUUGAUACUGCAGGUCUUGAGUAAAUUUGAAGUGGCUGGAAUAAGUAGUGUAGCGGUGAAAUGCAUAGAUAUUACUUAGAACACCAAUUGCGAAGGCAGGUCACUAAGAUUUAACUGACGCUGAUGGACGAAAGCGUGGGGAGCGAACAGGAUUAGAUACCCCGGUAGUCCCUGUCUCUUAUAC
Molecule: ribosomal RNA, 301 nt
Filed under: uncultured bacterium
Lineage: Bacteria
Description: partial 16S ribosomal RNA
Rfam family: Bacterial small subunit ribosomal RNA
Source: RNAcentral